This 425-nucleotide ribosomal RNA is filed under the name uncultured bacterium. RNAcentral describes it as "bacterial SSU rRNA". It matches the Rfam family "Bacterial small subunit ribosomal RNA", at positions 356 to 773 of the family's 1533-position model. The record is from RNAcentral.
GGGGAAUAUUGGACAAUGGGGGAAACCCUGAUCCAGCAAUGCCGCGUGUGCGAAGAAGGCCUUCGGGUUGUAAAGCACUUUUAGUUGAGAAGAAAGAUACAGAAUUAAUACUUCUGUGUUGUGACGUUACCAACAGAAAAAGCACCGGCAAACUCUGUGCCAGCAGCCGCGGUAAUACAGAGGGUGCAAGCGUUAAUCGGAAUUACUGGGCGUAAAGAGCGCGUAGGUGGAUAGGUAAGUUGGAUGUGAAAGCCCUGGGCUCAACCUGGGAACUGCAUUCAAAACUGCCUGUCUAGAGUACGGUAGAGGGAAGUGGAAUUUCCGGUGUAGCAGUGAAAUGCGUAGAUAUCGGAAGGAACACCAGUGGCGAAGGCGACUUCCUGGACUGAUACUGACACUGAGGCGCGAAAGCGUGGGGAGCAAAC